CGGACGGGUGAGUAAUGUAUGGGGAUCUGCCUGAUGGCGGGGGAUAACUACUGGAAACGGUAGCUAAUACCGCAUAAUGUCUACGGACCAAAGCGGGGGACCUUAGGGCCUCUUGCCAUCGGAUGUGCCCAGAUGGGAUUAGCUAGUAGGUGGGGUAACGGCUCACCUAGGCGACGAUCCCUAGCUGGUCUGAGAGGAUGACCAGCCACACUGGAACUGAGACACGGUCCAG
This 232-nucleotide ribosomal RNA is filed under the name uncultured bacterium. RNAcentral describes it as "partial 16S ribosomal RNA". It matches the Rfam family "Bacterial small subunit ribosomal RNA", at positions 99 to 334 of the family's 1533-position model. The record is from RNAcentral.